This 375-nucleotide ribosomal RNA is filed under the name uncultured organism. RNAcentral describes it as "partial 16S ribosomal RNA". It matches the Rfam family "Bacterial small subunit ribosomal RNA", at positions 527 to 896 of the family's 1533-position model. The record is from RNAcentral.
GUAGGUGGCAAGCGUUGUCCGGGAAUUAUUGGGGCGUAAAGCGCGCGCAGGCGGUUCUUUAAGUCUGAUGUGAAAGCCCACGGGCUCAACCGUGGAGGGUCAUUGGAAACUGGAGAACUUGAGUACAGAAGAGGAAAGCGGAAUUCCACGUGUAGCGGCGAAAUGCGUAGAGAUGUGGAGGAACACCAGUGGCGAAGGCGGCUUUCUGGUCUGUAACUGACGCUGAGGCGCGAAAGCGUGGGGAGCAAACAGGAUUAGAUACCCUGGUAGUCCACGCCGUAAACGAUGAGUGCUAAGUGUUAGGGGGUUUCCGCCCCUUAGUGCUGCAGCUAACGCAUUAAGCACUCCGCCUGGGGAGUACGGCCGCAAAGGCUG